GUUAUAGAUGCUUUAUAGUGUAAAGGACUUCUAAGCCGUCGGUCGGGGGUUCGAAUCCCUCUUGCAACGCCA
RNAcentral lists this transfer RNA (72 nucleotides) under Mariniplasma anaerobium. RNAcentral describes it as "Acholeplasmataceae bacterium Mahy22 tRNA-Arg". Lineage: Bacteria; Bacillati; Mycoplasmatota; Mollicutes; Acholeplasmatales; Acholeplasmataceae. The record is from RNAcentral.